GCAUUGGUGGUUCAGUGGUAGAAUUUUUCGCCUGCCGUGCGGGAGGCCUGGGUUCGAUUCCCGGCCAAUGCA
This is a non-coding RNA of Rhineura floridana, 72 nucleotides long. NCBI's taxonomy places the organism in Eukaryota, Metazoa, Chordata, Lepidosauria, Squamata, Rhineuridae. The record is from the annotation of a RefSeq genome assembly.